GAAACAACUGAUCACAUAAUAAGAAUUACCGAUGGUUUUCUCAGAAAUUUAAAAGGCCUUAAGGGUAACAUACAAAUUGGUGAUGGAUUUUUAUUCACAUAGAAUCAACCAAAAAAGCACAUAUACUCUUGGAUAAAAUUAUUGCAACAUUCAUAAGAUUUUGCAAAUAAAAAAUGAUAGUUUGAAAAAGGACCCAUAUUCAACAUACAUUGUUAAACAAAACAAAAAGUGUCAAGAAAUCUCCCAGUAUUAUGUUCUUGCAAAUACAAAUCCAACUCAGUUUGUUACACUGAUUAGCAAAUAAAUUUCUAUAUUUAAGUGAAUAGUAGCUGUUCACAAGAAUGUGUCCGCAGAACAUGGAUACCCCUCAACUAUCAUUUUCUAUGCUUAAUGGACCAUCAAAUUGGGGUCACAAUUCUAAUUUGGCAUUCGAAUUAGAAAGAUCAAAUCAAAGGGAAUAUGAGUACUAUAUUAAAGUUUCAAGUUGAUUGGACUUCAACUUCAUGAAAAACUACCUAGAUCAAACACUUUAACCUGCGGACCAGCUGAGAGACGGA
This 557-nucleotide long non-coding RNA is filed under the name Mytilus galloprovincialis (Mediterranean mussel). Lineage: Eukaryota; Metazoa; Mollusca; Bivalvia; Mytilida; Mytilidae. The record is from RNAcentral.